UAGGUAGAUGCCCGUUGGCUGAGGCGCUUAGCUGUUAACUAAGAUUUUGUAGGAUCGAAGCCUGCCUACCUAG
RNAcentral lists this transfer RNA (73 nucleotides) under Hypoplectrus unicolor (butter hamlet). Its description in RNAcentral is "tRNA-Asn". The record is from RNAcentral. RNAcentral also lists the same sequence under 16 other names. Lineage: Eukaryota; Metazoa; Chordata; Actinopteri; Perciformes; Serranidae.